RNAcentral lists this ribosomal RNA (447 nucleotides) under Peritropis advena. Its description in RNAcentral is "partial large subunit ribosomal RNA". It matches the Rfam family "Bacterial large subunit ribosomal RNA", at positions 1944 to 2600 of the family's 2925-position model. Lineage: Eukaryota; Metazoa; Arthropoda; Insecta; Hemiptera; Miridae. The record is from RNAcentral.
GACUGUGCAAAGGUAGCAUAAUUAUUUGUCUUUUGAUUGAAGACUGGCAUGAAUGGUUGAAUGAAAUAUAUACUUUUUUUAUUUUUUUCUUAAAAUUUAAUUUUUUAGUUAAAAAGCUAAAAUAGAGUUAAGGGACGAGAAGACCCUAUAGAACUUUAUUACUUAAUGUUUAAGUUAUGUUUAUUGAUGAUUAUGGCUUAUAUUGAUGUAAUUUGAUUGGGGUGAUUGGAAAAAAUUUUUAACUUUUUUUUGUUAAAUUCAUUUAUUUAUGAUGUUAUUGAUCCAAUAUUUUUGAUUAAAAGAUUAAGUUACCUUAGGGAUAACAGCGUUAUUUUUUUAGAGAGUUCUUAUCGAUAAAAGAGUUUGCGACCUCGAUGUUGGAUUAAAAUAAGUUAUAGGUGUAGAGGUUUAAAUUAACUAAGUUUGUUCAACUUUUAAUUUUUUACA